UACGAAGGGUGCAAACGUUGCUCGGAAUUAUUGGGCGUAAAGCGCACGUAGGCGGCUCUAUAAGUCGGAUGUGAAAUCCCUCGGCUCAACCAAGGAAGUGCAUUCGAAACUGUAGAGCUUGAGUAGUUAAGAGGAUCGCGGAAUUCCCGGUGUAGAGGUGAAAUUCGUAGAUAUUGGGAAGAACACCGGUGGCGAAGGCGGCUCACUGGCUCAUUUCUGACGCUCAGGCGCGACAGCGUGGGGAUCAAACAGG
Molecule: ribosomal RNA, 253 nt
Filed under: uncultured bacterium
Lineage: Bacteria
Description: partial 16S ribosomal RNA
Rfam family: Bacterial small subunit ribosomal RNA
Source: RNAcentral